RNAcentral lists this ribosomal RNA (624 nucleotides) under uncultured bacterium. Its description in RNAcentral is "bacterial SSU rRNA". The stretch from base 1 to 523 matches the Rfam family "Bacterial small subunit ribosomal RNA", at positions 338 to 873 of the family's 1533-position model. The record is from RNAcentral.
CCUACGGGAGGCAGCAGUGGGGAAUAUUGGGCAAUGGAGGAGACUCUGACCCAGCGACGCCGCGUGCGAGAUGAAGGCCUUCGGGUUGUAAACCGCUUUCAGCAGGGAAGAAGCGAAAGUGACGGUACCUACAGAAGAAGCACCGGCUAACUAUGUGCCAGCAGCCGCGGUAAUACAUAGGGUGCAAGCGUUGUCCGGAAUUAUUGGGCGUAAAGAGCUCGUAGGUGGUUCGUCACGUCGGAUGUGAAAAUCUGGGGCUCAACCCCAGACCUGCAUUCGAUACGGGCGAUCUAGAGUGUGGUAGGGGAGACUGGAAUUCCUGGUGUAGCGGUGGAAUGCGCAGAUAUCAGGAGGAACACCAAUGGCGAAGGCAGGUCUCUGGGCCAUUACUGACACUGAGGAGCGAAAGCGUGGGGAGCGAACAGGAUUAGAUACCCUGGUAGUCCACGCCGUAAACGGUGGGCACUAGUUGUGGGAACCUUCCACGGUUUCUGCGACGCAGCUACGACAUAAGUAGCCCGCCGUCGGGAGGUACGAGUCGCGAAGUAAGUUAAACUAACUUAAAGUUAAGUAAGUUAGUUACGGACGUUGAGACGUGCCGACGGACGACGACGAGGGAGGAGG